Rhinichthys klamathensis goyatoka is the source of this 584-nucleotide long non-coding RNA. RefSeq lists it as uncharacterized. Lineage: Eukaryota; Metazoa; Chordata; Actinopteri; Cypriniformes; Leuciscidae. The record is from RefSeq and is a predicted model, not a curated record. The transcript has 2 exons.
AAAGGCUGCGCGUGUUUCUCCGUCCAGGAGGGAGGAACACGGAUGAAGCUGCCAGGCUGCGAGGAUGAGAAGCACUGCAGUCGUCGGAGAGAGGAAGAGAGAGAAAGAGAGAAAUCGGCAAAUAUCUGUGCCUGGAAAAAAAGCGGAUAUUCCAGUCUGUGCUUUCCCGUUCCGCUCUCCGUCUCACUGUCUUCCAGGUCAUUUUCUCCACAUGCACUUGAACUCCAAAUCCUGUCUGCCGGCCCCUCCCCCCGACCUCUGUGACUCGCUCUCCUUCUGAUGGAGGCUUGAAAUAGUGCUCGCAGGCUGUAAGUGAGAGUGAGAGCGAGGGGAGGACGAGGGGGACAGAAAGGGAGAGAGACGUGGGGGGAAGGGGAGAAGGUUUACACGAACAGACUCUGUGCCGAGAGUGAGUGUGUGUGUGUGUCAGACGGAGAGAAAAUGAGAGGAAGAAACCCUGUGCACAUACAUGUGUUCAGAGAUUUGGUUCUCAGAAAUUACAGUGAACUGCAAAAAACAUUAAUUCUUGGAACCAAUUUUAAACAGGGCCAUCUAUUGUCUUUGAGGGGCCAUGGCUCACUUGA